Molecule: ribosomal RNA, 494 nt
Filed under: Myrmica brevispinosa
Lineage: Eukaryota; Metazoa; Arthropoda; Insecta; Hymenoptera; Formicidae
Description: eukaryotic LSU rRNA
Source: RNAcentral
CGAACGGGGAGAUUCAUCGUCAGCGGACGCCGGCUUCGCGUCGGUCGGCGAUGUCCCGCGGGGGCCCUCGCGGCUCUCAGCGCGGGCACGCUGCCGUGCGCCGAUGUAUCCGGCUUCGCCGUCGUGCACUUCUCCCCUGGUAGAACGUCGCGACCCGCUGGGUGUCGGUCUACGGCCCGGGUGCGGUGUCUGACGCGCCGCCGGUAAAACGGCGCGCGUCAAACCCCCGGUCGCCCGGCCGGCUGCCCGGCGGUACGCGCAAGGUAUCAGGCCGCACACACAUUGGUGCGUCGAGGCCGUCGCAAGCGCGCGCCACGGUACACGGAGGUACGGACCUAGCGCCGUCACCGGUCCUGGCCCGCUGUUGGUCGUACGGUUAACCUUCGACAGGCCUACGAACGUCACAGCGUGGGGGUGUCGGGGGCUCGUCUCCCGCGCGCUCUCGCGUUGGCGACCGAUACCGGUCAGCGACGCUACUGCUUUGGGUACUUUAG